UAAUGAGGCUGUGAACACUUCUGCCCAGGGAGGAGGAGGAUAUGCUCAGUUUUCCCUCUGGAUUUUGAGGUCUGGAGGAAAACUGACACAAAUGUAUGUGUUCUUGGAAAGCCAAUGGCUGCCUUAGAGUGUGAAGUUGACCUUUGCUAGGUAGCGUCCCGGUCACCUGUACACUGUAUAUAGUUUUUUUUAAUCAUAAUCAGACAUUUCCACAGCUGUCCAAAACUUGAAUGCAGAGCUGCAGAAGCUUUAGAAAUCACUUCCCAAUCUAAUGUGACCAACUUGGGAGGUGUUUCAGGUUGUCAGCGUUGGAAGUUUGAAGCGUAAAAUGAAAAUUUUUUUUCUCACUCGUCACGUGGACACAUGUGGCUCUCUGAUGGGAGAGCGUAGGAAAAGGUGGAUAUCUAAUCUUAAUUCCUUUUCUCUAACCCAAAUUACCCCACAUCAACCUAACCCUUUUUCAAGCACAGAGCCUCCUUAACGCAGUACCACAGGUUUUCAGCAUCCAAGGGGAGGCACGGACCUCUUCCACCACGUCAGCACCAAGCAACUCUCACAGCCAGCGUUUCUGCUUAGGAUUGCAAAUUUUGCUUUGAUUUGUUUUCUUGCCUCCAACUUUGCUUUCUUGUAGGCCAACAAUCCUGUAUGCAGGUUGAAGUUAUGGCCGUGUAUUUUAUUUUUUCUUCUUGGUUGAUGCCCCUCCAGAUUAUUUGUUUACUGCCACUAUACAGCUUUGGUUGCUACGUUUUUCUUUUGUUUUCUUCUGGUUUUGUUUAAAAAAAAUAUUAAUUUUUUGAUGUCAGAAUGGACUUCAGUCUUUGAAAUGGCAGUGCAGAGUUCCUAUAUACUUUUCUUUUGUUUAAGUUUGCUGCUACUGCUGCACUGGCCAUGAGUCAGAGUCCAUCUGAGAUUCUCUCAGUAGAAACAAUUACAGUCUCAAAGUUUAUUGUUGUUUUAAAGAUUCACUGAUUGAGAUUCUUUUAUUGUUAAAGUCUUAGUCAGCUGUAGGGAGCCUGUGUGAUUGUUAUUGGCAGAGCUUUGCUUGUAGGAGGGUGCUGAUGAUGUCUGUCUUGUCUUUUGUCUGCCGCUCUCAGGUCUCCUUCUCCUGAGCCCAUCUACAACAGCGAGGGCAAGAGGUUAAACACCCGCGAGUAUCGCACACGAAAGAAGCUCGAGGAGGAGCGACAUGCACUUAUCACUGAAAUGGUUGGACUCAACCCUGACUUCAAGCCUCCUGCAGACUACAAGUAUGAUUAUCUUUUUUUUUUCUUUCACCCCAUUAACUGUAUUUUAAAUUUUUGUUUCAUUUUGUGUUCGUUUAUCUGAUAAAAUAAAAGGCUGGCGUUUUAUCUGGGACGCCAGUUUGAUGAGGGACAGAAAAACAACAUGAAGCACGCGGUCUUUUAAUGGGGGGCACUGGUGUGAUUUUGGUAGAAAAAGUAAAUAACAAAUGACCAAUUGACCGGAUGGUUAAGCGUUGCUGUUAGUGUGAGUGUGUAUCCCAAAUAAGGUAACUGUUACUAACUGUUAACUGUUGGAUUGAAGAUGUUAUAAUGCCACCCUCGGUGUCUGUGAUGGGAAAUUGCAAACAGGGAAAGUUGAUAAGUAGAUGGAUGAAGCUUUGC
This is a long non-coding RNA of Astatotilapia calliptera (eastern happy), 1625 nucleotides long. Lineage: Eukaryota; Metazoa; Chordata; Actinopteri; Cichliformes; Cichlidae. The record is from Ensembl.